CAGGUCUCAGGAGUGCUACUGCACAGGGCUGAGGUCUGCCAGAGGUAUCAGGGAUUAACCCGAAGCAGAGAAUUUGAUCGUGAGAUUCAGGCAUUUCAGGAGAAAAAUAUGGGAAAUUUGUAAUUCCAUUCAGGAAAACUCAAAGUAAGUGAAUGUUGGUUUUUGUUUCAGUUUUUCACUCUCAGGGACAAUGAGAAAGCAAGAGAGGGG
This 210-nucleotide long non-coding RNA is filed under the name Rattus norvegicus (Norway rat). Its description in RNAcentral is "long non-coding RNA NONRATT033496". Lineage: Eukaryota; Metazoa; Chordata; Mammalia; Rodentia; Muridae. The record is from RNAcentral.